This 30-nucleotide non-coding RNA is filed under the name Rattus norvegicus (Norway rat). Lineage: Eukaryota; Metazoa; Chordata; Mammalia; Rodentia; Muridae. The record is from RNAcentral.
UGCCACAUCCUUUGUUUCCUUGGUCUCCCA